This 442-nucleotide ribosomal RNA is filed under the name uncultured bacterium. RNAcentral describes it as "partial 16S ribosomal RNA". It matches the Rfam family "Bacterial small subunit ribosomal RNA", at positions 338 to 795 of the family's 1533-position model. The record is from RNAcentral.
CCUACGGGUGGCUGCAGUGGGGUAUAUUGGGCACUGGGCGCAAGCCUGACCCAGCGACGCCGCGUGAGGGAAGACGGUCUUCGGAUUGUAAACCUCUUUCAGCAGGGAAGACAAAAGGACGGUACCUGACGAAUAAGCCACGGCUAACUACGUGCCAGCAGCCGCGGUAAUACGUAGGUGGCAAGCGUUGUCCGGAUUUACUGGGUGUAAAGGGCGUGUAGCCGGGUUGACAAGUCAGAUGUGAAAUCCUGCGGCUUAACCGCAGAACUGCAUUUGAAACUGUUGAUCUUGAGUACUGGAGAGGCAGACGGAAUUGCUAGUGUAGCGGUGAAAUGCGUAGAUAUUAGGAGGAACACCAGUGGCGAAGGCGGUCUGCUGGACAGCAACUGACGGUGAGGCGCGAAAGCGUGGGGAGCAAACAGGAUUAGAUACCCGAGUAGUC